This 31-nucleotide non-coding RNA is filed under the name Rattus norvegicus (Norway rat). The record is from RNAcentral. Lineage: Eukaryota; Metazoa; Chordata; Mammalia; Rodentia; Muridae.
UUGGCUCUGCAGGGAAUGCACUGUUAGAGUC